This 486-nucleotide ribosomal RNA is filed under the name uncultured bacterium. Its description in RNAcentral is "partial 16S ribosomal RNA". It matches the Rfam family "Bacterial small subunit ribosomal RNA", at positions 30 to 507 of the family's 1533-position model. The record is from RNAcentral.
AUUGAACGCUGGCGGCAUGCCUUACACAUGCCAGUCGAACGGCAGCACGGGUGCUUGCACCUGGUGGCGAGUGGCGAACGGGUGAGUAAUACAUCGGAACAUGUCCUGUAGUGGGGGAUAGCCCGGCGAAAGCCGGAUUAAUACCGCAUACGAUCUACGGAUGAAAGCGGGGGACCUUCGGGCCUCGCGCUAUAGGGUUGGCCGAUGGCUGAUUAGCUAGUUGGUGGGGUAAAGGCCUACCAAGGCGACGAUCAGUAGCUGGUCUGAGAGGACGACCAGCCACACUGGGACUGAGACACGGCCCAGACUCCUACGGGAGGCAGCAGUGGGGAAUUUUGGACAAUGGGCGAAAGCCUGAUCCAGCAAUGCCGCGUGUGUGAAGAAGGCCUUCGGGUUGUAAAGCACUUUUGUCCGGAAAGAAACCCUUGGCCCUAAUACGGUCGGGGGAUGACGGUACCGGAAGAAUAAGCACCGGCUAACUACGUG